RNAcentral lists this non-coding RNA (23 nucleotides) under Gallus gallus (chicken). Lineage: Eukaryota; Metazoa; Chordata; Aves; Galliformes; Phasianidae. The record is from RNAcentral. RNAcentral also lists the same sequence under 2 other names.
GAAUUGCACUUUAGCAAUGGUGA